GUGGGGAAUAUUGGGCAAUGGGCGCAAGCCUGACCCAGCAACGCCGCGUGAAGGAAGAAGGCCCUCGGGUUGUAAACUUCUUUUAACAGGGACGAAGAAAGUGACGGUACCUGUUGAAUAAGCCACGGCUAACUACGUGCCAGCAGCCGCGGUAAUACGUAGGUGGCAAGCGUUAUCCGGAUUUACUGGGUGUAAAGGGCGUGUAGGCGGGAGAGCAAGUCAGACGUGAAAUUCCAGGGCUCAACCCUGGAACUGCGUUUGAAACUGUUCUUCUUGAGUGAUGGAGAGGCAGGCGGAAUUCCGUGUGUAGCGGUGAAAUGCGUAGAUAUACGGAGGAACACCAGUGGCGAAGGCGGCCUGCUGGACAUUAACUGACGCUGAGGCGCGAAAGCGUGGGGAGCAAACAGG
Molecule: ribosomal RNA, 408 nt
Filed under: uncultured bacterium
Lineage: Bacteria
Also listed under: 1 other name
Description: bacterial SSU rRNA
Rfam family: Bacterial small subunit ribosomal RNA
Source: RNAcentral